AUUGAACGCUGGCGGCACGCUUUACACAUGCAAGUCGAGCGGUCAAAAUGAGGGGGCUUGCCCCCGAAAGACGAGCGGCGGACGGGUGAGUAACGCAUGGGAAUGCGCCCAGUAGUGGGGGACAACCCUGGGAAACCAGGGCUAAUACCGCAUGUUUUCCACGGAACAAAGCGGGGGACUUCUUCGGAAACCUCGCGCUAUUGGAGCAGCCCAUGUCCGAUUAGCUUGUUGGCGGGGUAACGGCCCACCAAGGCGACGAUCGGUAGCUGGUCUGAGAGGAUGAUCAGCCACACCGGGACUGAGACACGGCCCGGACUCCUACGGGAGGCAGCAGUGGGGAAUAUUGGACAAUGGGGGCAACCCUGAUCCAGCGAUGCCGCGUGAGUGAAGAAGGCCUUCGGGUUGUAAAGCUCUUUCGCAGGGAAAGAAAAAACGCGGGCGAACAGGCCGCGUCCAUGACGGUACCCUGAGAAGAAGCGCCGGCUAACUUCGUGCCAGCAGCCGCGGUAAUACGGGGGGCGCAAGCGUUAAUCGGAAUUACUGGGCGUAAAGCGUGCGUAGGCGGCCGAGCAAGUCAGAUGUGAAAGCCCCGGGCUCAACCCGGGAAUUGCGUCCGAAACUGCCCGGCUAGAGUUCGGCAGAGGAAGGUGGAAUUCCGCGUGUAGCGGUGAAAUGCGUAGAGAUGCGGAAGAACACUAAUGGCGAAGGCAUCCUUCUGGGCCGACACUGACGCUGAGUCACGAAAGCGUGGGGAGCAAACAGGAUUAGAUACCCUGGUAGUCCACGCCCUAAACGAUGCCCGCUAGCUGUCGGGGGGAUUUCCCCCCGGUAGCGAAGCUAACGCGUUAAGCGGGCCG
This 857-nucleotide ribosomal RNA is filed under the name uncultured beta proteobacterium. Its description in RNAcentral is "bacterial SSU rRNA". It matches the Rfam family "Bacterial small subunit ribosomal RNA", at positions 28 to 871 of the family's 1533-position model. Lineage: Bacteria; Pseudomonadati; Pseudomonadota; Betaproteobacteria. The record is from RNAcentral.